Polyodon spathula (Mississippi paddlefish) is the source of this 1965-nucleotide long non-coding RNA. RefSeq lists it as uncharacterized. The transcript has 7 exons. The record is from RefSeq and is a predicted model, not a curated record. NCBI's taxonomy places the organism in Eukaryota, Metazoa, Chordata, Actinopteri, Acipenseriformes, Polyodontidae.
AUUUUUUUAAUUUUUUGAAAAUUAUUUAUUUAACUUUUUAUGCUGCGUGAUUGCCAUUUUUGUUAUUUGAUGUUUGUAUGAUCUCUAAAACAAGCAUGGCAAAGCCUACGAGGAACAAGAAACCUGUAGACUUCAUAUUUUGGUGAUUUUGAAGAUGAAGAUGAAGAUUUUGCCUGUGUAAAAGCACCUCCUAGCAAAAAGCCUCGAGUGGCUCCCAAAGAACCAGACCGACAGAAAAAGCUGAAGACAGUGAACAAGCCCCCCUGUUCAGGAGUGUGGUGGAUCUCUGGGGAAACCUUGUGAGCAAAGAUUACUUGUGGAUGACAGGCUUUAUGAAAGGGAUUUGGAGGCUGCAUUAGCUUUGUCAAUGCUGCAGACAAUUGAAGAAAACUUUGCAGUCAGUCUACCAAAAGAGAGAGACAUUGGUUCAGAGAGCGUGUCAAAGAGGUGGAUGUUGAAGGGUUCACAGUUAAAAAGGGGCGAAAGUGAAAGAAAACGAGGAGGCCAAAUCAAAAGCACAAAGUUCAAAGAAAGAAAAAUCCAGGCUCUGUGUGACAGUGACACCUGCAGCUGCAAGUCCAGCUCCCACCACAUCUAAUCCCAUGUUGAUGAAGCCCUCGAACGCGACUCUCCCAGCAUACAAACCUGUCCAGGUUCAGAGCCCAUCCGGUGCCAGGAAGCCCAAGUGGACCCCACCUGCGCAAAUUAGAAGAAGCCCAAAUGCCUCUGAAACUGUGGCAGUAAAAUCUCCAAGCCAAGGCCUCCGACCUGGACUGUCCCGGUUUGCCAGAGUGAAGCCAUUGCACCCAGGAGCAGCCAGUGACUAAACUCCUUUUAGCCUGGGCCCUCCUUCAAGAACCCUUUUUCUGUAGCGUGUUUGUGUUUUUUUUUUAAAAUACCACUAUGAACAAGUUGAUGAAUAUGUAUGGGAGUUCACAGAAGACAUUUGUAUAUGGGCAGCAAUAUUUGUAACAAUAUUUUUAUAUACUACUUUCAGAAUUUAGAAUUUUGGUUGACGUUUUUAAAACUAUGUUAGAGCGGGCUGUUUUGUUUGUUUGUUUUUUCUGCCUUUUAACUGAGUGGCAGUAAGCAUCAGCCUAUGUACAGACUGGGGUCCAGAUCAAACCAUGAAAACGUGUAUUUACUUUUAAAUAUUUAUGCCCCACCUCAGAAGGUGGAGGUUAUUUAUCGUUUUGUAAUAUUUUCUUUUUGGGUGGGAUGUGUCAUCUCUAACUAAUGAAAGUGCAAAAUGGGUAUGAUUAAUGGAAUUAUUACUGCAAAUGAAGAGAAUAGUGUUGUUGUCUGAGGAGUCUAGUUGCAAACCUUAGCUCGGCAACUAUGCUUUGAAAUUGGGUCGUCCUUGGCAAAUUAUCUUCAGUGCCUCAGUGCCAUUCAGCUGUAAAAUGGGAGGCACACAACACAAAGCACAAUUAAGAGGUGCACCUGCAUAUAAUAAUUUCAGCUUGGACGCAUAUUUUUAUAAAAAUUGAGCAAAGUACUUUGGGUACUACUUUGUUGUCAUAGAGCAAAUGUAAGUUGUUUCAGGCAUUUCAGUAUGACAAAUCAAAUACAUAUAGUAAUUUAUAUAACUGAUAUAAUUGAAGUUUGCACAGUUUUCAUCCCGAAUGUGCUUAACCCCUAGGUUUUGUGACAGGCCCCUCUAUACUAAAUUGUGUCAGUCUGACCCCUAAAGAAAUACGAUGAAUUUGAGCUCUGAUCACAUUGCAGCACAGUCAAAUACUGGCUUGUGCUCUUCCCGAUCAUCAUGAGCAGGGUUUGCAGAAUUAGCGUUCAGAAUGGUGCCAGGCAGAAGAGGAUACCCAGUGAUUUAAUUUUGAAGCACAGGCAAGCUUUCUGAAAGGCAUACUACAACUUAAAUGGUUUACUAUGCUCAAGAGACAACUCAUUGCAGGUAGAAGCAGUUAAUUUGUUGUACAGGAGGUUUUUUUUUAUGGUUUUAAACUG